RNAcentral lists this ribosomal RNA (422 nucleotides) under uncultured bacterium. RNAcentral describes it as "bacterial SSU rRNA". It matches the Rfam family "Bacterial small subunit ribosomal RNA", at positions 358 to 773 of the family's 1533-position model. The record is from RNAcentral.
GGAAUCUUGCGCAAUGGGCUAAAGCCUGACGCAGCGACGCCGCGUGAUUGAUGAAGGCCUUCGGGUUGUAAAGCUCUGUGGAGGGGGACGAAUAAGGGUCGGCGAACACCCGGCCUUAUGACUGUACCUCUUUAGCAAGCACCGGCUAACUCUGUCACAGCAGCCGCGGUAAGACAGAGGGUGCGAACGUUGUUCGGAAUUACUGGGCGUAAAGCGCGUGUAGGCAGCCGGGUAAGUCGGGUGUGAAAGCCCUGGGCUCAACCCAGGAAGUGCACUCGAAACUGCCAGGCUUGAGUUCCGGAGAGGAAGGCGGAAUUCUCGGUGUAGAGGUGAAAUUCGUAGAUAUCGAGAGGAACACCGGUGGCGAAGGCGGCCUUCUGGACGGCAACUGACGCUGAGACGCGAAAGCGUGGGGAGCAAAC